This 482-nucleotide ribosomal RNA is filed under the name uncultured bacterium. RNAcentral's name for it is "partial 16S ribosomal RNA". It matches the Rfam family "Bacterial small subunit ribosomal RNA", at positions 30 to 507 of the family's 1533-position model. The record is from RNAcentral.
AUUGAACGCUGGCGGCAUGCCUUACACAUGCAAGUCGAACGGUAACAGGUCUUCGGAUGCUGACGAGUGGCGAACGGGUGAGUAAUACAUCGGAACGUGCCCAGACGUGGGGGUUAACGAGGCGAAAGCUUUGCUAAUACCGCAUACGAUCUAAGGAUGAAAGCAGGUGACCGCAAGGCCUUGUGCGUUUGGAGCGGCCGAUGGCAGAUUAGGUAGUUGGUGGGAUAAAAGCUUACCAAGCCGACGAUCUGUAGCUGGUCUGAGAGGACGACCAGCCACACUGGGACUGAGACACGGCCCAGACUCCUACGGGAGGCAGCAGUGGGGAAUUUUGGACAAUGGGCGAAAGCCUGAUCCAGCAAUGCCGCGUGCAGGAUGAAGGCCUUCGGGUUGUAAACUGCUUUUGUACGGAACGAAAAGGCUCUGGCUAAUACCUGGGGCACAUGACGGUACCGUAAGAAUAAGCACCGGCUAACUACGUG